Molecule: ribosomal RNA, 253 nt
Filed under: uncultured bacterium
Lineage: Bacteria
Description: partial 16S ribosomal RNA
Rfam family: Bacterial small subunit ribosomal RNA
Source: RNAcentral
UACAGAGGUGGCAAGCGUUGUUCGGAAUUACUGGGCGUAAAGGGCGCGUAGGCGGUCUUUUAAGUUCCGUGUGAAAUCCCUCGGCUCAACUGGGGAACUGCACGGGAAACUGGAAGGCUUGAGUUCGGGAGAGGGAAGCGGAAUUCCGGGUGUAGCGGUGAAAUGCGUAGAUAUCCGGAGGAACACCGGUGGCGAAGGCGGCUUCCUGGACCGACACUGACGCUGAGGCGCGAAAGCGUGGGGAGCAAACAGG